GUUAUGCAUAUUCAGUUGUCGGGUAACACUUUAUUUAAAGGGGUCUACACAAGGGUGACAUGUAACCGUCAUAAGAAUGUCAUGACACAUGUCAUGCAC
Long non-coding RNA from Alosa sapidissima (American shad), 99 nucleotides. RefSeq lists it as uncharacterized. The record is from RefSeq and is a predicted model, not a curated record. NCBI's taxonomy places the organism in Eukaryota, Metazoa, Chordata, Actinopteri, Clupeiformes, Clupeidae. The transcript has 3 exons.